UAACUUUAACAUUUGUUUUCAUGUUUCACCAUGAAAACAUGCUCAUGAAUUUCAUAUUAUAUGAAAUUAAGUGGUUUUUUAGAUCUUAUAACUAAGUAUCAGAAACAAGGGCACAAAUUCUGUAUUCUAGACUUCAACACACUGGAGUUCACCAGACUACUAAUGUUUCUAUGUGAGCAUGUUUCAGAGAGAACAACAAAAGUACAUAGUAAUAUAUGUAGUUUCUACAAUUACUACGUAAAUACUCACUCAUUAAAAUACAGAAAAAAAACAAACAAAGCAGUGUUAUACUGGAAUGCAAGAUGAGUGAACAAUUUUGCAGAAAGGAUGCCUGACUGAAAAGCAUGAGCCACAUGCUUGCCCUCUGCAAGAGACCUCAGAAUACUCAUGAAAGGAAUUCCAAGGCAUGAAAUAGUUUGAAAGACUUCAAAAAUGUGGACCUCCUAAUUGGUUGCAGGCUAGUUUAUUACAUUUGCUUUUCAAGGCAAAUUUAUUACUUUUCAAGGCAAAUUUGGAGCGUGUGGUUUGCAGCUGCUGAAUUGUGUUCAGAGUUCUGCAAGAUAUCACUUUGGAUUCCUACUUGUAUCAGUUAUGUGUUUAAAUCCAAAAGAAGGAGAAAAAGUGGAGAAGAGUGAAAAACAAAACCACAGUGGAAAAAGAACAUGUCAUGGACAUCUUUUGACAUCAAGCAUGAUCAUCCCAUGCUGCCAAGGCAUUUAUCUAAGCCUUACAGACUGGCAGAUAGAGUGGUUACACAAAGGGUGUAGGGCUGUUUUCAUCUUUUCAGAAAAAAAAAAGUGAAGAUUCAGUUCAAUAAAAAGUAUGGAAUAUUACCAGCUGAGUCUUGUGUUUCUCUAAAUGGUCUCAUAAUACAAAAUGAGCAAUAAGGAACACACAGUGUAAACUUUAAAUUGAACAAUUCUGGAAAGUUAAAAUAUGUUUCCAAUGUUGAAGUUCCUUUUCUCAGCCAUCAGAGGGAUCUGUCUGAGCUCUUUUAGUGGAAACCUCUCUUUCUUAAGCAAAUUAAUUUCAUUGUAGCCAUCAAGAUAAAGAUACGCAUGCUCUGUUUAGCUGUGGUACACUUGCUGGCCAACAAAUACUCAUUUCUGCCAAAAUGUGUAAAAUGUGUUUGCCAAAAUUAAGCAAAAAACAAAAUGAAUUAUGAACAAACAAGUGAGAACACCCACACAACAAAAUGCUGUAAGUUGACUGCAUCACCGGAGAGCAGACGUUUCAUAUUACAGAAUAUCACAGUGUGCGGCUUUUCAUUUCAUAUCAGAUAGAGUACCAGUUGUUUUGAACACUCCAAGUUAUGUUCUAGAUCCUAAGCAUGUAUGUAUAGCCCCGAAAGGGACUAAAAUUGCUGUUGUUCUAGUCCCUUCGUUAUUGCUGAGAAACUGGUUUUACUGAUGGUCAGUGCAUUGCUUGACCCAUUCCACACUUAGUCAAGUCUUGAGGGACCAAAAAUUCUACAGCAAACUGAAAAAAAUUCAUAGAUGGUCCUUGCUAAGGUGUGGAAAAGGUUCAUCAGAUGACCAGUAGGGUUGCAGAGUGGGAGCCCAUUGCUUUGGGAAUAUUUUCAUGGAAAGUCCAUUGCUCUUGCACUGUUACUUUAUUUUGUUCUUGAGCCAUAAAGCCAAGCUGAUUUCUCUGAAUGUGCUACCUCUGAAAUUACCAUUUAUACUGAAAACUCCAUGUCAUCAUCUUUACAUUU
This is a long non-coding RNA of Parus major (Great Tit), 1714 nucleotides long. RefSeq lists it as uncharacterized. Lineage: Eukaryota; Metazoa; Chordata; Aves; Passeriformes; Paridae. The transcript has 4 exons. The record is from RefSeq and is a predicted model, not a curated record.